Molecule: ribosomal RNA, 446 nt
Filed under: uncultured bacterium
Lineage: Bacteria
Description: partial 16S ribosomal RNA
Rfam family: Bacterial small subunit ribosomal RNA
Source: RNAcentral
CCAGACUCCUACGGGAGGCAGCAGUGGGGAAUAUUGCACAAUGGGGGGAACCCUGAUGCAGCGACGCCGCGUGGGUGAAGAAGUCAUUCGUGACGUAAAGCCCUAUCAGCAGGGAAGAAAAUGACGGUACCUGAAGAAGAAGCCCCGGCUAACUACGUGCCAGCAGCCGCGGUAAUACGUAGGGGGCAAGCGUUAUCCGGAUUUACUGGGUGUAAAGGGGGCGCAGACGGCGAUGCAAGCCAGGAGUGAAAGCCCGGGGCCCAACCCCGGGACUGCUCUUGGAACUGCAUGGCUGGAGUACAGGAGGGGCAGGCGGAAUUCCUAGUGUAGCGGUGAAAUGCGUAGAUAUUAGGAGGAACACCAGUGGCGAAGGCGGCCUGCUGGACGACAACUGACGGUGAGGCGCGAAAGCGUGGGGAGCAAACAGGAUUAGAUACCCUCGUACC